GCCGAAGUGGUGGAAUUGGUAGACACGCCAUCUUGAGGGGGUGGUGAGCCUAGCUCGUGCCGGUUCGAGUCCGGCCUUCGGCACCA
This 86-nucleotide transfer RNA is filed under the name gamma proteobacterium HTCC5015. RNAcentral's name for it is "tRNA-Leu". It matches the Rfam family "tRNA". From Rfam's summary of the family: Transfer RNA (tRNA) molecules are approximately 80 nucleotides in length. Their secondary structure includes four short double-helical elements and three loops (D, anti-codon, and T loops). RNAcentral also lists the same sequence under 3 other names. Lineage: Bacteria; Pseudomonadati; Pseudomonadota; Gammaproteobacteria. The record is from RNAcentral.